Molecule: long non-coding RNA, 2199 nt
Organism: Xiphophorus couchianus (Monterrey platyfish)
Lineage: Eukaryota; Metazoa; Chordata; Actinopteri; Cyprinodontiformes; Poeciliidae
Exons: 5
Source: RefSeq, a predicted model, not a curated record
AUCGCUGACAGUCAUAAAUCCUCCUGGUGUUUUUACAGGUUCUGCUUCAGGGACCUUUGGACUUUGAGCAGGAACUCAGAUGCUGGUUCUGAUGCCAGGAAUGAGAAAUGAGCCGCAGUUUCUGACGGGCCGACGCCGGAUUCUCCUUCAGGUCUUUUCUCCCUCAGGAAAAUAAAAGAGCUGAUCUCUCACCUCAGGAACAGAAGCAUGUUAGAGGAACAGACACUUAGAGAUCUCUGGAGAGGAAAAGGUUUGGCAGCCAGAGAUUCUGCUGCUUCGCACAAAACAGCCUGAAAAAUAAAGAAACAGCAACACAAAGGAACCAGAGCACGGUCCUUUCAAAACGUGUUUCAGACAGGAAGAUCAGUGCUGGGACACCAUCAGAUAUUUACUUCAUUUAUAAAGUAAAUAUCAGCUUGAAUUGGUAAAACAUAAAAGAGAAAGAAACAGCAGCGCAUCGGUUCAAAUGAUCAGAUUCAGAAAUCCUAAUUUAUACUGAGUGGAGAGACUCACAUACUGCAGUUUUCCUGUUGAGUCGAUGAAAAUGUGAGAUCAAACCUUCCAGCUUCCCUCCUGCCUCAGUUUUCCUCUGCUGACAUGAAGAUUGGCUGAUUUCCAGAAGUGACCGUGCAGAGGGACGCUUUCCGCCAUCGUGUCAGAAGUGAAACAAAACCUUCUGCUGAAUGAAACAUGAGGCGUUUCAGAGAGAAGCAAAUAAAAGUCAGAUUUCUCUGAUUCAGCUGGCAGCGUUUUUACACUCCUGUCUUUUUAUCAUCGUUUGUGAAGCUUCUGAGAACCAGGAUUCUGAUUUAUAAUUUACAGCUUCAGUUGGAACGCUGCGAGAAGAAAUCAUGUUUCUGUUUUAUGUAUUUUCUGCUCAGACUCUGUAAUUUUCUGCCACCAGGACACUUUGGUUCUUCAGGACGUUAAUCUGAGUGGUGCAAACUCGUCCUCCAUGUCAGCUGGUAAUGAAGUGAGAGAACGGCCCAGUCCAAUCAAAUAAACAUCAGCGGAGUGGAGGGAAGCCUGAUGGCUCUGAUUAGACACUGGAUGCAUUAACAGGAUUGUUUUCAGAAACCGAGCUUUGAUAUCCGGAUGGAAGCAGCGUUUCCUUUCACCGUGAAACCAUGACAGAACCCUUUCAUCAAGCUGAGCUCUGAGCUGUUCAUGAUGACCGAACGACGCCGCUGCCAUCUCCCCUCCAGCCGGUUCCACUUCCUGUGGGGAACUUUAAGGGUUAGCAUGGAGGCGUGUGGAGUCUGAAUGCAGCUCUUCAGGUUUCAUUCAGUUGAGUUUUGGAUGGUCUGGAUUUUAUGGGAGGUCCAGAGAUUUCAUGAAUGAUGGACUGAAGAGACUCUUCUUCUCUCUGAAGCUUUUCCUUCCUGGUGUUUAGUGACACAAACCGUCUGAUUAAUAAAACUAAAUAAUCUGAAGCUAAGCUGUUUGUCUGAUAUUCUAAAGUUUCCAUCAUUUUUGCUGAGUUUCUGUUUCUGGUUGUGUCGUCUUCCUGCUGGUUUCAGUCGUACCUGUGAAGUUUCCUCCUGGAAGAAGAGUUUCUGCAGAAUCGAGGAGCCGUCUGGUCCGUCUGGUCCGUCUGCGGCUGGCAGGCUGACAUCUGGGCCGAUCACAGCGCCGCCAUCCAUGACACGCUGCUGCGAACUGUCACUGGACCAGAUGGUUUAUCAAGUCAAAGCUGGAGAGGAAAAACAGACAAGAAGACAAACAAACAGCCAUCAGAGUGUUGGCAUCCCUCUGACUCCUGCUUCCUCUGAAACUCAGGACAGGAAACCGGAUUUCUGGUUUUGUUCCUCAGUCGUGAGGACGUCUCCUUCCAGAGCAGCAAAUGUUUUAUUCUGUUUCAGACGGAGAGAAGGAGCACCGCCCUCCUCAGAGAAACACUUUGCUUCCUUUCUAAUGAUUCAGAGUGAAGCCAUAGAAACUGAGCGCAUCGCCCACAGGGAGGCUGGGAUUCCCGGCCAUUAUGGGCUGCAGCAGGAAGCCAGAGGCCAGCCGCUUUCUGCUCCUUUAAAUAUGAAUUUUUUAAAGUUUUCCUGGAAUCAAAGGCUUCUGAUCUCUUCUUUCAGAAACUCACAAAUACUGUUUUCUCCAUAAAAAUCUGCCUUAUUGGCACAGAAACCAAAGAAAUGUUGAAAUAUUUCAUCACCGCUGCGUCCAAUAAAAACCAUCCUGAUGCUGAAA